This 433-nucleotide ribosomal RNA is filed under the name uncultured bacterium. RNAcentral describes it as "partial 16S ribosomal RNA". It matches the Rfam family "Bacterial small subunit ribosomal RNA", at positions 29 to 507 of the family's 1533-position model. The record is from RNAcentral.
AACGAACGCUGGCGGCAGGCCUAACACAUGCAAGUCGAACGAAGUCUUCGGACUUAGUGGCGCACGGGUGAGUAACACGUGGGAAUAUACCUUACGCUGGGGGAUAACAUCGGGAAACUGAUGCUAAUACCGCAUACGCCCUUCGGGGGAAAGAUUUAUCGGCGAAAGAUUAGCCCGCGUCCGAUUAGCUAGUUGGUGAGGUAAUGGCUCACCAAGGCUCCAAUCGGUAGCUGGUCUGAGAGGAUGACCAGCCACACUGGGACUGAGACACGGCCCAGACUCCUACGGGAGGCAGCAGUGGGGAAUAUUGGACAAUGGGCGCAAGCCUGAUCCAGCCAUGCCGCGUGAGUGAUGAAGGCCUUAGGGUUGUAAAGCUCUUUCACCCACGACGAUGAUGACGGUAGUGGGAGAAGAAGCCCCGGCUAACUUCGUG